GAUCAUCAAAUAUAUAUAGAGAAUAACUGAAGAGAAAAUGGCAAUGGCUCAGGCACAGAAGUUUAUGAUGGCAGCCGUGAUCUUUGUUCUUCUAUUCUCAGUAGCUAUGGGAAAAUGGAAUUGCAUAGCCCAAUGCAGAGAUGUUCCAGACUGUGAUCAAGCAUGCAAACGGGACGGCUAUCAGUAUGGGACAUGCUUACCACCUGUGUUUAACAUCUGCUGCUGUCAAUAAGACACUAAGAAUCUUGACACUCAGAGCUUUCCUUCUAGAAUUGGAAGAAAACAUAAUCUAAAUAAUUAAGCUUUGUUUGAAGGAAAUAAAAAAAAAAAUUAUAUUUCAAGUAGUUGAAUUUUAUUCUUUAAUUUGUCAUAUUGUAGUUCUUAUAUUCUCAAUUUCA
Molecule: long non-coding RNA, 398 nt
Organism: Cicer arietinum (chickpea)
Lineage: Eukaryota; Viridiplantae; Streptophyta; Magnoliopsida; Fabales; Fabaceae
Source: RefSeq, a predicted model, not a curated record